GACGAACGCUGGCGGCGUGCUUAACACAUGCAAGUCGAACGAAGAGCGAUGGAAGCUUGCUUCUAUCAAUCUUAGUGGCGAACGGGUGAGUAACGCGUAAUCAACCUGCCCUUCAGAGGGGGACAACAGUUGGAAACGACUGCUAAUACCGCAUACGAUCUAAUCUCGGCAUCGAGGAUAGAUGAAAGGUGGCCUCUACAUGUAAGCUAUCACUGAAGGAGGGGAUUGCGUCUGAUUAGCUAGUUGGAGGGGUAACGGCCCACCAAGGCGAUGAUCAGUAGCCGGUCUGAGAGGAUGAACGGCCACAUUGGGACUGAGACACGGCCCAGACUCCUACGGGAGGCAGCAGUGGGGAAUCUUCCGCAAUGGACGGAAGUCUGACGGAGCAACGCCGCGUGAGUGAUGACGGCCUUCGGGUUGUAAAGCUCUGUUAAUCGGGACGAAAGGCCUUCUUGCGAAUAGUGAGAAGGAUUGACGGUACCGGAAUAGAAAGCCACGGCUAACUACGCG
RNAcentral lists this ribosomal RNA (510 nucleotides) under uncultured bacterium. RNAcentral describes it as "partial 16S ribosomal RNA". It matches the Rfam family "Bacterial small subunit ribosomal RNA", at positions 28 to 507 of the family's 1533-position model. The record is from RNAcentral.